Sinocyclocheilus anshuiensis is the source of this 313-nucleotide long non-coding RNA. RefSeq lists it as uncharacterized. The transcript is spliced from 3 exons. The record is from RefSeq and is a predicted model, not a curated record. NCBI's taxonomy places the organism in Eukaryota, Metazoa, Chordata, Actinopteri, Cypriniformes, Cyprinidae.
UGAAGAGGAACAGAGCAUUGUGUCGGUGGAGUGUGUUUGUCAGGUUCACUCGUUUGAUGGCUCUCAGCGGGACGCAGCGGCUCUUCUUGAUCUGGAUCUGUACAUCCAAAUCAAUGGCUGACAGGUGCUGGAGGUGAUGGCCGGCGUCAGGGACGAAGAUCCACUGGACCUCGCUGAAACCAUCUACAACAACACUACGAGACUGUUCUUCAAACACACUUCAUGAGAACAACUUCCUAUGUACUAUACAACACAUGCACAAUAAAUGUGACAAGAAACAUGUAAUAUACUGGCUUUUUUGUUAAUUGAAAUA